Sphaerodactylus townsendi is the source of this 929-nucleotide long non-coding RNA. RefSeq lists it as uncharacterized. The transcript has 4 exons. The record is from RefSeq and is a predicted model, not a curated record. NCBI's taxonomy places the organism in Eukaryota, Metazoa, Chordata, Lepidosauria, Squamata, Sphaerodactylidae.
ACCUUCUCCAACUUGUGAUUGAACUAAAAUACUGCUUCAAAAUGACAUUGAAAUACCAGUACACACUGACAAGUGGAUUGCCUCACAAUGAAGAAGCGGCAGUGAUGAAUUGCUCUUGAAAUCUCCCAAAUCAGUAUAAAAGGCCUACUUCUGUCAUCUGAAAAACUGUCCCUGAGAGUGGGAAUUCUACAGGAACAACCUAGGAGUACAAUCCAGAAGGAGGUUGGCUGAAAGGGCGGUGGAAUUGGCAUUAUUCCAUUGCCGACAUACAUACAACUCCAUGUGGGACAAAGCCCUGAGGAGCUCCACCUGUCAUUCCUCUCCAAGAGGAUGGAAAACCAAUAACACUCUUUGAGUACAAUCUGUCUACCAGUUACAGAUCCACCUAAGAGUAACAGGAUCCAAACCAACUUGUCAACAAGAAUAUUGUGUGAUAUAUGUUGUGGUGGAGGAGAACUAGUUGCAAUUACAGUGGUAGUGGCAGAAGGCAUUCCAGUAGUGCCGAAGAAAAUCGAGAAACAGGAGCUUGAGGAGGGAAGGAAUGGAAUUUCCCGUCCGUCACGAGGUUUCUGAGAUGUUCCCUGGUUUUAAAUGUUUUGAAAUAUUUUUAAGUGAUGCUCCUUGCUUUUAAGUCAUUUUCAAACAGGUUUCUUCAUUUUUCUUUCUUUUACGAGCAUGGGUACUAGUCUACUUAUUAAAACCUUCAUUAAGGAGUACUUAAAAACGGAUGGAUGACUAGUCACAAAUUACUGUUACAAUAAGCAGACAUCCUUUUAAGUGUUUCCAGAUUGAGCACAUGAAAUUGCCAUCAAUGCACAAUGGGAAUCUAAGCUAGUCUGAGUAAAGCAAUACCAUGAUUAUACCAGUUAAUAACAUGACUUACAAAGGUCAAGUGCAAAAGCAAUGAAUAAAAUAAGUCUUACCUUAUU